This 105-nucleotide ribosomal RNA is filed under the name uncultured bacterium. RNAcentral describes it as "partial 16S ribosomal RNA". The record is from RNAcentral.
GUCUACGCGAAGAACCUUAUCCUGGAUUUGACAUGGUCGGAUUAGCCGGCGGAAACGUCGGUGACGCCUUCGGGUGGAACGAUCACAGGUGAUGCAUGGCUGUCG